AAUGAACGCUGGCGGCGUGGAUAAGACAUGCAAGUCGAACGGAGUCCUUCGGGACUCAGUGGCGGACGGGUGAGUAACACGUGAGUAUAUGCCGAAAAGUGGGGAAUAGCCCGAGGAAACUCGGAUUAAUACCGCAUGUGACCGAAAGGUUAAAGGUGGCUUCGGCUGCCGCUUUUUGAUUAGCUCGCGGUCUAUCAGCUUGAUGGUGGGGUAAAAGCCUACCAUGGCAACGACGGAUACCUGGUUUGAGAGGACGAUCAGGCACACUGGAACUGAGACACGGUCCAGACACCUACGGGUGGCAGCAGUCGAGAAUCAUUCACAAUGGGGGAAACCCUGAUGGUGCGACGCCGCGUGGAGGACGAAGGCCCUAGGGUCGUAAACUCCUGUCAUCAGAGAGUAAGGCUUCUACACUAACACGGUAGAUGUUUGAUAGUAUCUGAAGAGGAAGGGACGGCUAACUCCG
Molecule: ribosomal RNA, 466 nt
Filed under: uncultured Verrucomicrobiaceae bacterium
Lineage: Bacteria; Pseudomonadati; Verrucomicrobiota; Verrucomicrobiia; Verrucomicrobiales; Verrucomicrobiaceae
Description: bacterial SSU rRNA
Rfam family: Bacterial small subunit ribosomal RNA
Source: RNAcentral